RNAcentral lists this signal recognition particle RNA (99 nucleotides) under Linnemannia gamsii. Its description in RNAcentral is "Mortierella gamsii Bacterial small signal recognition particle RNA". It matches the Rfam family "Bacterial small signal recognition particle RNA". From Rfam's summary of the family: The signal recognition particle (SRP) is a universally conserved ribonucleoprotein involved in the co-translational targeting of proteins to membranes. Archaeal SRP consists of a 7S RNA and homologues of the eukaryotic SRP19 and SRP54 proteins. The record is from Rfam by way of RNAcentral. Lineage: Eukaryota; Fungi; Mortierellomycota; Mortierellomycetes; Mortierellales; Mortierellaceae. RNAcentral also lists the same sequence under 1 other name.
GACGGGCCUCCUCGCAUAGUGGUGCGGCCAAUCUGGUCAGGUCGGGAACGAAGCAGCCACAACCGUUUCCCGCUAGUGCCGGGGUUUGGGCUCGUCACC